CCCCCGCCCCCGCGCUUCACCUCAGAGUUGAUUGCUGCUUCACCUCGCGCGCGACUCCCUCCACCCCGCAGCCGGCCGACGCACACCUCGACGCGCCGUCCUCCACUAAAUUCCCGGAAAGGCACCGCAUGUGUUGCGUCCAUGACCAUUCCUGAUUCGCCUGUUUUGGAUCCUGAAAUAAGACCACAUCGUGCACUCCCAGUUUUCUAUAUUAGAUUGGGCUAUUGUUCCAUGUUUUCUACAUUUAGACUGGGUACUGGGUGGUAUGAAAAAGAUGGUUCAGGUAUGACCUUACCAUUAUUCUGGGCAGAGAUACUCCAUGACCUAGCCCAGGAAAGGAUAACCAGCCAUGUCAGUUCAAUGUCUCUGUUUUACAUCAUCUGAACUGAAAACAAAACUGGUUAAAUUCUUCUAACUUCAAUGCCUCCAUGAACCAUAUGAUUUUCCUUUGACAGAUUGUAUUCAAACAAGUGCUUUGAAAUUCUUCUAACCUGAAUUACUGAAGCUACCAUUACAGAAUGGUAGAAACUAGAAAGGAUGAUUGAGUUUCUCUCUAGCUCAGCCAAGCUACCAUGUGAGUUACUCAGGUGAGCAAUUUGUCAAUGUUUGUGUAUUUGUGACAAUGUGGUAGCGACAGACAUGCAAGUUAGGAACAAUUUUAUGAAUCUUUAAUUUAGGCUGUCAAAAAGAUACUAUUUCAAACUUUACCCAUGCUCCAAAAACCCAUGUCCCGCCCUGCUUGACAUUACUUUCCACCUUGACAAAGGCAGGCCAAACCGUCAACAUUGAAGAUGCUAAGCACGUCCGUCAGAGUGAUAAACUGUUGGGUGACAAGAUAGAUGAGGCCGUCAAAGAAUGGGAUGCUCAGAAAGAAUUCUGAGAGAACAGGACAAUGAUGAAUCAGGAGAGUACAUCACGAGUACGACGACUGAUGAGUUGCAGUGUAUAGGUUGACAAUUUGAGAUUAUAUUAUACUCCUAUCAAAUAAUUUACGAAAGCUUGAAACAAUUGUAUUCUAUAUCAUGGCAAUAUUGGUAUAUGAGUUUAUAAUUUUUGACACCCGUUGCAACACACGGGCACAAACCUAGUCAAGGGAAAAGUUGACUCAUGAGUAAAUUAAGCAGGUAUUGGUACAUCUGGCUUCACUGCCACUUGCCCAAAAAUGGCGGUAAAAAUUGAACACUCCCAAUUGGUAUACGAUGAUCUGACCGGGUUUGAUGAUAAUCCAUCCCUGUAGCUGUAUGCAUGCAUGCCGCCAAAUUAAAGCACACCAGCUAGCUAGCUAAUCGCCCAAUAAGUAAUAACCCGUUUCCUCGUUGAGGAUGUUGCUCCUCUGCUUCUUGUGUUUGCUCGUGCUGUGGUCUGGAGCUUCUGGAUCUGGAUGGCUCACAUCCAUGGCGGAUGUUGGUGGUUGUGGGGACAAAUCGUUGGGUCCGAUGACCGAUUUCCUUUCAACGAAUACUUCUUGCGGUUUACCAAAGCUUGGUGUCCGGCCUUCGAUUUGUUUUGGCGAGAUGGUGGUUUGACGUUCCUGGAUGCCGGCGAGCGAGCUCUGAAGAAGGCGCAGUGUUUUCUCGAUGUGAGGAAGAAGAUAAACAGUAGAGACAGGGACUUGGAUGUAAUUUCUGUUUUAAUCAGGGUCUUUGCUGUAAGAUUGAGGUGUACUGUGCUGACGUUUGUUUUAAUAUAAGCUGCAUCUCUUUCUCGCAAAAA
Molecule: long non-coding RNA, 1713 nt
Organism: Panicum virgatum (switchgrass)
Lineage: Eukaryota; Viridiplantae; Streptophyta; Magnoliopsida; Poales; Poaceae
Exons: 2
Source: RefSeq, a predicted model, not a curated record